Molecule: non-coding RNA, 1479 nt
Organism: Drosophila melanogaster (fruit fly)
Lineage: Eukaryota; Metazoa; Arthropoda; Insecta; Diptera; Drosophilidae
Source: Ensembl
AGUCAUUAGAAUAAUCUCUCAACUAACCGACGUGGUUUUAAGAUCGUCUAUGGGUCAAGUGGGUUCGUCACUCGAUUCUCCCUCCUCCACUGAGUGACCGCCGAGUGACCACCCACCUGGAUUUAUCGGCACGCCACUGAGCCUAUGGAAACACCCAUGGCCAAGAGGCGACUCCGAGCCAUUGAACCAUUUGGAACUAUCACUUUUAACGCGCAUUACAAUGGCACUCGAGGUGGCCCAAUUUCGUGGCUUGGAGUGCACUUGAUCACCGAUUAUUGUCUGCUGAUUCGAGCCGAAUCCAUUUAAUUUCACUGCUGCCAGAUGCCCACGAGAUCGAAAACGAAAACGAAAUCGAAACUAGAAACUAGAAAAUAAAAGGAAAAGGAAAAGCGUCGAAAAUUGCUCCCUCGAAGCGAGUGAAAAGAUCACGGCCAUUGGGAGUGGGAGUGGGUGAGAUGUGGAGGAAAGUCAAAGUGAAAUGCUUGGAAAGCAAACCAAAUUGCCAGUCAGUCACUUAGUCAGUCAGUCAGUCUCUUGGACCACAAACUCACAAACAACAAUAGCAAUAGGCGAUCCAAGGAGGAGGGCGGCCCAGCCACACCCGACUUGGAUGUCUGGGUAAUCCAAUAGCGGCAAUUAGAGUGCCGCCCCCGGGGAUCCGGAGAUCGGGGGAUCGAGAUCAGAAACGCGGUCACAGUUCCGCAGAUCGCCCCAGUGCAUUUCCAUGCUCCAGUACCAGCUGCAGUGCCAUUACCAUCAAACCUCCUCCAUGGGCAACUCGUCUAACCGGACCUAGACUCCAUCUCUCCGAGGAAAUGCCUUUGCCAUAGCUCCACUUGAACCCAUGCACUGGCAAAAGAAUUGGUUCUCAAUAGAAGAUGGAAUGUAGAAAUGAAGUAUGCCUUAACCUUUUCAAGUGAACGAUGUACACGUUCUGAAUAGACUUUUUUCGCUCAGUGUAAGAGGUAGCAGCGCCGUCCGGUUCGAUCGGCUACUCCGUAAUCCAAUUAAAGGAACAAUCUACAUUUCAAUUCAAAACUAAUGAAGUGUAGAGAAUUCGCAACAAAGGCUGACAUGUGUUGAUUGUUUCGACGACUGCAGUGCUGGUAUUUGAAAGUCGUGGGUUUCUUCUGACUCCAUAUAGUCCAUACAGACACGUAAUACCUGGCUUUUUAAAGCCAUUACUAACAAGCUUCCCUGUAGAGCACCCAGAGUUCCAGCUGCACAACUUCCGUCCAGCACAAGCACACAUUGUGCGUAGUCCAAACAAUUCAUUGAUUGAUUGUCGAUAUGGCGAUCAAUUAGACAGAUUAUGGUUUUCAUUGAUCGCCAUCCAGCAGCAGUAGUGACAAACCCAGGGACAGCUGUCAAUGGUCACUUGUAUCUACUUCUAUAUGCACAAUAUAUAAACGCCGACUUCGAUUUCGAUUUCUAUUCUCGGCAGCACACCAUUUUGAUUCUCCUACUGCUACUGGGACU